RNAcentral lists this ribosomal RNA (440 nucleotides) under uncultured bacterium. Its description in RNAcentral is "partial 16S ribosomal RNA". It matches the Rfam family "Bacterial small subunit ribosomal RNA", at positions 338 to 795 of the family's 1533-position model. The record is from RNAcentral.
CCUACGGGUGGCAGCAGUGGGGAAUAUUGCACAAUGGGCGAAACCCUGAUGCAGCGACGCCGCGUGAGUGAUGAAGUAUUUCGGUAUGUAAAGCUCUAUCUGCAGGGAAGAUAAUGACGGUACCUGACUUAGAAGCUCCGGCGAAAUACGUGCCAGCAGCCGCGGUCAUACGUCUGGAGCACGCGUUAUCCGGAUUUACUGGGUGUAAAGUGAGCUCUGACGGCAGGGCAAGUCUGAUGUGAAAGUCCGGGGGUCAACCCCGGGACUGCAUUGGAAACUGUCCGGCUAGAGUGCAGGAGAGGUAAGUGGAAUGCCUAGUGUAGCGGUGAAAUGCGUAGAUAUUAGGAGGAACACCAGUGGCGAAGGCAGCUUACUGGACUGUAACUGACGUUGAGGCUCGAAAGCGUGGGGAGCAAACAGGAUUAGAUACCCCAGUAGUC